This 459-nucleotide ribosomal RNA is filed under the name uncultured bacterium. RNAcentral's name for it is "partial 16S ribosomal RNA". It matches the Rfam family "Bacterial small subunit ribosomal RNA", at positions 338 to 794 of the family's 1533-position model. The record is from RNAcentral.
CCUACGGGAGGCAGCAGUGAGGAAUAUUGGUCAAUGGACGAGAGUCUGAACCAGCCAAGUAGCGUGAAGGAUGACUGCCCUAUGGGUUGUAAACUUCUUUUAUAUGGGAAUAAAAUGUUCCACGUGUGGGAUUUUGUAUGUACCAUAUGAAUAAGGAUCGGCUAACUCCGUACCAGCAGCCGCGGUAAUACGGAGGAUCCGAGCGUUAUCCGGAUUUAUUGGGUUUAAAGGGAGCGUAGGUGGAUUGUUAAGUCAGUUGUGAAAGUUUGCGGCUCAACCGUAAAAUUGCAGUUGACACUGGCAGUCUUGAGUACAGUAGGGGUGGGCGGAAUUCGGGGUGUAGCGGUGAAAUGGUUAGAUAUCACGAAGAACUCCGAUUGCGAAGGCAGUUCACUGGACUGCAACUGACACUGGGGCUCGAAAGUGUGGGUAUCAAACAGGAUUAGAAACCCUAGUAGU